GGAGCUAUGGCUCAAUGGUAGAGCGCUUGCCUAGCAUGUAUGAGGCACUGGGUUCAAUUCUCAGCACCA
Molecule: transfer RNA, 69 nt
Filed under: Ictidomys tridecemlineatus (thirteen-lined ground squirrel)
Lineage: Eukaryota; Metazoa; Chordata; Mammalia; Rodentia; Sciuridae
Description: Spermophilus tridecemlineatus (thirteen-lined ground squirrel) tRNA
Rfam family: tRNA
About the family: Transfer RNA (tRNA) molecules are approximately 80 nucleotides in length.
Source: Rfam by way of RNAcentral